Molecule: ribosomal RNA, 250 nt
Filed under: uncultured bacterium
Lineage: Bacteria
Description: partial 16S ribosomal RNA
Rfam family: Bacterial small subunit ribosomal RNA
Source: RNAcentral
UACGGGGGGUGCAAGCGUUAAUCGGAAUUACUGGGCGUAAAGGGUGCGUAGGUUGUGUAUUAAGUUAUCUGUAAAAUCCCUGGGCUUAACCUGGGCAGGUCAGAUAAGACUGAUAGACUCGAGUAAGGGAGAGGGUAGUGGAAUUUCCGGUGUAGCGGUGAAAUGCGUAGAGAUCGGAAGGAACACCGGUGGCGAAGGCGGCUACCUGGCCUAAUACUGACACUGAGGCACGAAAGCGUGGGUAGCAAAC